This 443-nucleotide ribosomal RNA is filed under the name uncultured bacterium. RNAcentral's name for it is "partial 16S ribosomal RNA". It matches the Rfam family "Bacterial small subunit ribosomal RNA", at positions 338 to 795 of the family's 1533-position model. The record is from RNAcentral.
CCUACGGGGGGCAGCAGUGGGGAAUAUUGGACAAUGGGGGGAACCCUGAUCCAGCGACGCCGCGUGAGUGAAGAAGUAUUUCGGCAUGUAAAGCUCUAUCAGCAGGGAAGAAAGAAAUGACGGUACCUGACUAAGAAGCCCCGGCUAACUACGUGCCAGCAGCCGCGGUAAUACGUAGGGGGCAAGCGUUAUCCGGAUUUACUGGGUGUAAAGGGAGCGUAGACGGCGAUGCAAGUCUGAAGUGAAAGGCGGGGGCCCAACCCCCGGACUGCUUUUGAAACUGUAUGGCUGGAGUGCAGGAGAGGUAAGUGGAAUUCCUAGUGUAGCGGUGAAAUGCGUAGAUAUUAGGAGGAACACCAGUGGCGAAGGCGGCUUACUGGACUGUAACUGACGUUGAGGCUCGAAAGCGUGGGGAGCAAACAGGAUUAGAUACCCUUGUAGUC